CCCUUAGAUGUCCUGGGCCGCACGCGCGCUACACUGAUGCAUGCAACGAGUUUAUAACCUUGGCCUGAAAGGUCUGGGUAAUCUUUUGAACGUGCAUCGUGAUAGGGAUAGAUUAUUGCAAUUGUUAAUCUUGAACGAGGAAUUCCUAGUAAACGCGAGUCAUCAGCUCGCAUUGAUUACGUCCCUGCCCUUUGUACACACCGCCCGUCGCACCUACCGAUUGAAUGGUUCGGCGAAGAUCUCGGACUUCGAUAUUUAUUCUUUAUUGAGUUUAUAUUGUGGGAAGUUAUCUAAACCUCAUCAUUUAGAGGAAGGUGAAGUCGUAACA
Molecule: ribosomal RNA, 328 nt
Filed under: uncultured eukaryote
Lineage: Eukaryota
Description: partial 18S ribosomal RNA
Rfam family: Eukaryotic small subunit ribosomal RNA
Source: RNAcentral